UUCUUAAUAAUUACUAUUUUAUUCUGUAAUAAAUACAGACCUAGUUUUCAUCAAUAAAAACAUACAUACCAUUAUUAUUAUGUUUUACUAUUUAAAAACCUAAUGAUGGGACCAUGAUUAGGAGUUAGGAGUAUAACUGUGAAUUAUCACCAAAGCAUACAAGCACCCUAGUUCCUAAGUAUACUCAACUAAUGAAUAUAAACACUGAUUUAGUAAAAUCACCUGUUACUUUCAGUUUGCAUGUUUACCUUAACUUACACCAAAAAAUUACUUACUCUCUUAGGAUAUGUUUCGUAGUGAUUUUGUUAAAUAAGAUCCUCUGUUGAUAAGAUGAGAUUACUGUGGAAGUUAUUUUCUACAGUAUUUUUAAUGUUCAUGCUUAUCACUGUUUUAAUUUGCCAGCAUACGUUCACGGCCUUGUUACUUAUACAAACUCUUAACUUUUAGUUUUGAUAGAAGAAGUUCAUGUUCCAGUUAACCUCUUGCAUUAGCUCUUUCCGUACUCAUACUCUUGUAAAUCUUUUGCUUCCUUUAUCAUAUACUUGGGGUUAUUUAUUUGUUUGUUUAUUUGUCAGUUGCCCCAUCCUAUUCCAGCUUUCUUUCUUAUAUCAACCAUCUUUCAUUAACCCACCAAGCAACCAGCUUUCCUUUAUCCAUCAAAUAGAUGUAAAUUUUUUUCUGUGUAACUUAUGCUAGCAUGAUGCAGGUGGCUGCCAGAAAAUACUUUUUACUCAUCUGUCAGAAUUACUGUUGAAUUGCUGAUAAAUUUUCUGAUAGUUUAUUCUGUUAUCUUAAAAACAUGGAUAGUAAUUUUUACCCCAUCUUAUUAUUUUGCUCUUUUUAUUUUUAAAUAAAUGUUUUAUAUAUGUAUAUAAACAUAUAAGAACAUAUGAAAAAUGCUAAUUAUGAAACAACUUUUGAAUAAGUACUCAUGGCUCACCAUCCAAUUUAAGAGCUGGAGUUGUUGUUUUUACCUGUGUGUUCCUUCCUGUCUUCAGCUCUAUACCUCUCCUCUGCCUCAGAUAUCCUCUGAAUGUAUUUUAAAUCAUUCUUUCUGGAUUAUUUUGGGUUCUAAAAGAGUAUAAAUGAAGUAUAUAUUGUUAUUUUCAUUUAGUUUUGAGUUUUAUAGAAAUGUAUUACAUUAAAAAUGGCUAUAUAAUUUAUCAGCCACGUUGAGAGACUUGAGCCUAUAAGGAUUGCUAAUAAUAAUUGCAGUAGAACACAUAUAAACCAGGAAGAUUCUGGGCAAAUCAUGAAGUAUAGUUACAUAUGUAAAACUAUAUGUGGUCCUUUUCCACUUAGCUUUUUUGACUAAAUGUUAUGUUCCCAAGAUCCAUAUUUUGAAUUACAUAUAAUUUUAAUAUAUUUUUUUGAAGGCAUCUUAAUUUUCUUUCAAAAAUAUUUGCUUGUCCUUAUAAUGGUUGUUUUAAUAAUAAAACCUGGAUUUACCUGCUUUUAAUUUUUUUAAAGCUAUGAAUACUCUAUAUUCCAGAAUUCCUUAGACGAUUUUUGGUAUUGAGAUGGUUUUUGAGGUCUUACCUACCUAAACAUUGGAAAGUUAUAUGUAAAAUACUAUAUUUGUCAAUGAACUGACCCCAUUUUUCUGAAUUGCAUCAAAAAGACUUUUCUUAGUAAACUAAAUGAAAACUUUUCUGAGAUAUAAAAAUAUUUUAGUUUUUCAUUUAAAAUCCCUAAUAUGGGUAGUUCACAAUCUGAUGGUUUUCAUACAUAUAUUUAGCAUUCUAGUUGAGGAUUUUGAAAGUUUUAUUUCACUGUUUGGAUUUUGAUGCUGUAUGGAACACACACAACCCAACAAAAGAGCUUAAUUUGGAGGGUGUGGUAGCACAUGUUAUAGUGGAAAGUGAAGUCGCUCAGUCGUGUCCAACUCUUUGUGACCCCAUGCACUGUAGCUUACCAAGCAUCUCUGUCCAUGGAAUUUUCCAAGCAAUAGUACUGGAGUGGAUUGCCAUUUCUUUCUCCAGAGGAUCUUCCCAACCCAGGGAUCGAACCCGGGUCUCCCGCAUUGUAGACAGAUGCUUUACCGUCUGAGCCCCCAAGGAAGUCCUGAGUCUGGUACUCAGUCUUGUUUUGCAUAGGAUAAAGUUGUUCAGCGAACUGUGAUUCUGAUGACCUAUUAUUUAUUGUUCAGUUGCUAAGUCAUGUCUGACUUUUUGGGACCCCAUGGUCUGCAGCACUCCAGGCUUCCCUGUCCUCCACUAUCUCCAGGAGUUUGCUCAAAUUCAUAUCCAUUGAGUCGGUGAUGCCAUCCAACCACCUCAUUCUCUGCCGCUCUCUUCUCCUUUUGCCUUAUGAGGCCUAUCCUUCAUAGGACCUUCAGGGGAGGAGCUGAUUGUGAUUUUUCUCUGUUAACUUCUUGGAAAGUGGGUUUUCAAUAGAAAACUUUCAGCUUUCUUGGAAACUAUGUUUAAGUCUAUUUGUUUUGUAAACUUGUGCCAGAAAUUCUAACUGCUCAGGGCCAGGGCCUUCACUUCAUCUCAUCGUAGUGCAGCCUGUAUUACUCUGCAUGAUGCUUGGUAAAACCAUACAGCGAAGUUUAGUACAGGGAUGAAAUUACACAGCAAAAGUUCCACUUGUUUUCAGAGGCAUGAUAUCCAGGUAAAUCCAGAAUUAUCUUUUCUGAGUGUGAAGCUGUAUAGUAAUAGAAUCAUGUAAAACAUGGAAAAUAGAACAUUUCUUUAAUAUUAGUGUCAUUCUAAGAGGAAUAACCACUUGCAAAAUCUGGCAAGCAGUUUUGGCAUCUAUUUACCUUUCUGUCAGAUGGAAUUAUAAGUAACAUUUGAGCUGGAGAAACUUUCGUGAUCAUCUGAUCCCGCCUCCUUGUUUUAUUGCCACUUGGCAAGCUGCUAAGCCUCCUUGUGCCUCAGUUUCUGUGUCUAUAAAGAUAAUAACCACAUCUCACAGGGUUACUAUAAAGAUGAAAUGUGUUAAUGUAUAUAAAGCAAGCUUGCAGUAACCAUUCAGUGCAUGUUAAUUGUUGUUGUGAUUAUGGUUAUUGUUGUUAUUCAAAAUGAGAUGUAGAGACUUGUCCAUGAUCAUUACUCUCCAGAGUAGCCCAGGGGGUUUGGGCUACAAGUCUGAAUCUUACACCAGUGGUUUUCUUGUACCAUUCAGAGGACAUGUAUAUAAAGCUCCCAGUGAUGACUUGCUGAGUUUACUGAGAUUAUUCAGUAGGACCACUAGAACUAGCCAUGAAAGCAUAGUUUCACAAAGUUGAAUCCAUUUUUCUCCUAAUUUGGAAAAAAAAAGAACAAAAAAAAAAAACAGGUAGGUCAGUGGUUGCUCUUCUGAGAGGUUGAGUCUGAGAAAGUUAAGAGGAGACAGAAGACAAGCAUUUUUUUUAAACCCUUGCUUCACUCAAGAUCGUUGGCAAAUCAAUUUCUGUGUGAUGUGAUAGGCAGGCAGUCUAGCAUAAAAUUUACCAAUAGAUGAGCAGAUCAGAAUCCUGGGUUAUUUCUUACACUUUCUGCAUAUAUUUAGACAACAUCAGUCCCACCCUCUCCCUGUUCCUAGCCAGGGCUGCCACACUCACUUGAGCAAGUUGCUUGUUGGACCAGGGAUGUGGACCAGAGGAGUAAGUGGCAGUGAAAUACAGCAGCUCUCUGGGGAGACAGGGCACCCUUUUGCGAUUCACACAGAGGGGCCCCAGAGCUGUCAGCACUCUCGUCCUGGCCUCUUGGUAGUCAUCCUUGAGGCCCGAGUCCACAUGUCACCUGUUUCUCUACUCUGUUCCGUAGCCACGCCCAGGGACAUUUAAACAUGCAUUUUUAACAGAUGCUCAUCAGAAAACUUUAUGUGGUGUUAUUUUAUGGGGAUUUGUUAAAAAUCAUGCCAUAUUUUAUUGGGGAAAAAAAAACGUGGUCUUCCCCUCCCUUUAGUCUAUCUGCCCUUCUUUAAAAAAAUUUUUUUAAAUAUACUUUUUGAACUAUGUCAUAAAUAAUAAAACCACACUUUAGAGAUGAUAUAAAGUUGAUUAUUUGGGGUUUAUAUUUAACUAAAUCCAGGCAUGCUUCCUUAGAGAAUAAAUGAGCCCUUCAGAGCUGAUUUAGUAGUCUCACUUCCUUUUCCCAUCUCUAGCCCUGAUGUUAAGUUUUGUUGGUCUGUACAUUAGCCUGGAGGGCUGCAGUCCUUGGGGUCACAAAGAGCUGGACACAACUGAGAGACAGCGCACACACACACAUUAGCUUCUAAGAUAAUUUCUAGUCUGUCUACAUUUGCUUCUGAGUCUGAACCAAUGAGACAAAAAUGUCCGACAGAGAUUACAUGGUUUCUCACCCUGGGCAUGAUCCUCAGAUUGCUUUUUGAAAACAUCUGUUUGGAAUUUCCCUGUAUUUUUCUGUCUGUAGCCGUUUGCUUUCUUUUCUCCCUCACCCUUCUUCCCAUUCCCAGCACUGACUGGUUUUCCCUGAGCCUACUUCUCUCCCAUUAACUCCUGCUGUAUCUUGCUGCCUCCUCGCCAUGUGUCACAGAUUGGCUCUUUCAAUCAUUGUCUCUCCAGCAAGUCAUUGUUAAAAUGCACAGCUGUUGUGUAUCUGAUAGCUGGGGUGAGGUAAAGCCAGCAUGUUAUGGGAAGAGUCUUCCUAGCAUGGCUCUCCCUGGGUUUGUUGAAGAAGAGCAGUCAUUUUUUUCCAUCUCUGCUCUGGUAAAUGAAAUCGACAGCUAAUGAUAAGUAUCACAGAGGUGGAUAAACAAAAGCCCAGGAAAGCACCCCGAAUGGCUGACUCUGUUUCUUGCCUGUUAAACCAUUUCUCCACCCACUGCACAUUCGCCCUCCUGUCAUGCUGCCUCGCGAACAUUGUGAGUGUCAUGGGAACAAGUACUGUGAUGCGCUGGCACGACAUCGGCCCUGGCACAUCCCUAACUCAGUGGGGCUUUUCCUUCCUGCAUUCUUUUGAAAAGCAGGAUGGAGAUUUUCUGUGAUUGACUACUGGCCAGAAGAGGGCAGGAGGCCAUGGGUCAGAGUAUCCUCAGUGCUGAGCGGCUGGAAAGGAGGAAGGAGGGCAAGGGGAGAGUCGUCUUUCAUCAGUCUCUCAAGCUUGCUCUGAUCUUUUUCCAUUCGUGGCGCACCACCCCACCCCCCGCCCCCUGCCCGG
This is a long non-coding RNA of Bubalus bubalis (water buffalo), 5111 nucleotides long. RefSeq lists it as uncharacterized. NCBI's taxonomy places the organism in Eukaryota, Metazoa, Chordata, Mammalia, Artiodactyla, Bovidae. The transcript is spliced from 2 exons. The record is from RefSeq and is a predicted model, not a curated record.